GACGAACGCUGGCGGCGCGCCUAACACAUGCAAGUCCAGCGAUGAAAUUUUAACCGAUCUCUUCGGAGAGAAGAUAAAAUGGAUUAGCGGCGGACGGGUGAGUAACACGUGAGAAACCUGCCUUUCACAAGGGGAUAGCCUCGGGAAACCGGGAUUAAUACCCUAUGACACAUUUCCUUCGCAUGGAAGAAAUGUUAAAACUCCGGUGGUGAAAGAUGGUCUCGCGCCUGAUUAGCUAGUUGGUGGGGUAACGGCCCACCAAGGCCAUGAUCAGUAACCGGCCUGAGAGGGUGAACGGUCACAUUGGAACUGAGACACGGUCCAAACUCCUACGGGAGGCAGCAGUGGGGAAUAUUGCACAAUGGAGGAAACUCUGAUGCAGCGACGCCGCGUGAGCGAUGAAGGCUUUCGAGUCGUAAAGCUCUGUCCUAUGGGAAGAUAAUGACGGUACCAUAGGAGGAAGCCCCGGCUAACUACGUG
This 480-nucleotide ribosomal RNA is filed under the name uncultured bacterium. RNAcentral's name for it is "partial 16S ribosomal RNA". It matches the Rfam family "Bacterial small subunit ribosomal RNA", at positions 28 to 507 of the family's 1533-position model. The record is from RNAcentral.